CCUACGGGAGGCUGCAGUGGGGAAUAUUGGACAAUGGGGGAAACCCUGAUCCAGCCAUGCCGCGUGUGUGAAGAAGGCUCUCGGGUUGUAAAGCACUUUCAGUGAGGAAGAACGCCUGGUGGUUAAUACCCAUCAGGAAAGACAUCACUCACAGAAGAAGCACCGGCUAACUCCGUGCCAGCAGCCGCGGUAAUACGGAGGGUGCGAGCGUUAAUCGGAAUUACUGGGCGUAAAGCGCGCGUAGGUGGCUUGAUAAGCCGGUUGUGAAAGCCCCGGGCUCAACCUGGGAACGGCAUCCGGAACUGUCAAGCUAGAGUGCAGGAGAGGAAGGUAGAAUUCCCGGUGUAGCGGUGAAAUGCGUAGAGAUCGGGAGGAAUACCAGUGGCGAAGGCGGCCUUCUGGACUGACACUGACACUGAGGUGCGAAAGCGUGGGUAGCAAACAGGAUUAGAUACCCUAGUAGUC
Molecule: ribosomal RNA, 465 nt
Filed under: Vreelandella stevensii
Lineage: Bacteria; Pseudomonadati; Pseudomonadota; Gammaproteobacteria; Oceanospirillales; Halomonadaceae
Description: partial 16S ribosomal RNA
Rfam family: Bacterial small subunit ribosomal RNA
Source: RNAcentral